UGUAUUAUAUCAAACACUAACCGCAACUAAAACCUCUCAUCCAUUUGAUUUCCAAUAUUUGCUUCGAUUUUUAUCUGACAAUUCACAAAUGGCUUCUUCAAGUCAUCGCCAAAGGCAACUGUCACUCAUCACUCCUCGUGAUAAUCACUCUUAUGGCUGCUUAACCCAGAAGAUGAAAACCUCAAUUUCCAUAGAGGAUUCAAAGAAAAAGGUGACCAUAACCACCGAGACGAUGCACAAGCACCGGCCUAUAUCGAAGGGAAAUCGUAUUGCCCUUGAACAAGUAGUCGUCAACCAAGAAAAGAAGACUACCAUCGACAAACAGAGGCUAGUCGUUAGGGAGGAGAAGCGUGAGGUCAGAGAAAAGAAGAUCGUGAGCCACCACACUACAGUAGAGAAGGAGAAGAAGCGAAUCCCGCACAAGCAUAGAAGCGGUGGCACUUUAGAAAUCACCUUCAAAACAAAAUUUUGACAUUAUCAUCUCUCCGUCAUCGAAGCCAUCGCAAACAUGAAGUUCCAGAAUUUCUCUGGGGGUGUGCACGUCAGAAGGGAACUUGCAUGUAUAAUUGGCAAAAUUAUACCGAUGUAGAACGGUUUUUUUUUUUUUUUGUUAAAUAUGUAUUUCCCUAUGGUUUCCCUUGUUAUCAAUACCCCCCCUGACCUUAAAAUAAAAGGGUUCUUCUUACAUUGUGCGUGUUUAAUUGAGGAUUAAUCCUCUUCAGGCAAUAUAUGUACCAGGUUUGAUGUGUGGAUUGUAUAA
Long non-coding RNA from Populus nigra (black poplar), 760 nucleotides. RefSeq lists it as uncharacterized. The record is from RefSeq and is a predicted model, not a curated record. The transcript is spliced from 3 exons. NCBI's taxonomy places the organism in Eukaryota, Viridiplantae, Streptophyta, Magnoliopsida, Malpighiales, Salicaceae.